UACUAUAGUGUUGGUUUUCGAUCUUAGGGCGUUCAAAUCAACGAUCCACACCGUUAAAACUGAUCUAGGGUAUUUAAAGUUUCUAAAAAUAAAAUUUUAUAUUUUUUCGACAUAGUUUACUUUAUGAUCAAACUAUUUCAAAAUUGUCAAUUUUCAAUGGCUAUUAUGACGAGUUUGGAGUUUAACGGUGUAGAGGAAUCUAAAUUUCUUCAAAUUUUGAUAGAAAAUACUUUAAACUAUAUAGAUUAAGGUUAACAUUCUUGAUCUUGAAUUUAAAAGUCCUAUACUCAAAUUUUAAAGAUUAUUCAAUUUCCACCGUCCAUUUUGAUAUAAUUUAUUUACUAAGUAAACGAUAUCGAAAAAAACUAAAAUUUUAUUCCUAAGAAAUUCAUAUACCNUACUACCGAUUUGUUUUUGAUGAUAGAGCUUCCAAAUCGACGAUCGGCACCGUUGAACACCAUCUAGACCAUUUAAAUUAUCUAGAAAUCAAAUUUCAUGAUUUUUUGGCAUCACUAACUGAACGAUCAAAGGGUUACAAAAUCUAUAAUUUUAAUGGCCGAUAUGGUGCGUUUGCUCGUUUAACGGUAUAGAAGAGUUCAAAUCAACUAAAUUUUUGUUAGAAAAUUCUUUAAACUAUUUAAAAUAAGAUCUACACUCUAGAUCUCAAAUAUAAAAAUUGUAUCAUCACUUUUUGAAGGAUAUUCAUUUCCAGCCAUUCAUUUUUCUAUUCACUUGAUGGAUAAGAGAACAAUAUCGAAAAUGUUUGAAAUUUGAUUUUCAGAUAGUUUAAAGUAGUUUAGAUCAUGUUUAACGGUGCUGAUCAUCAAUUUGGAAGCUCUAUCAUCGAAAACAAAUUAGUAGUAAACCCGAGCCGUUUACUACCGAUAGUAUUCUAGUAAAACUCUAUAUAUAUAUAUAUAUGCUAGGGCUAUUAUACUCUUAUGAGUAUAGAGCUCUUCAUACUCAUAAGUUGUUUUUAAUGAUGGAGCUUUCAAAUCGACGAUCCACUCCCUUAAAUAUGAUCUAAAGUAUUUGAAACUUCAAGAAAAUAAAUUCGUAAUUUUUAAAAAUCAUAAUAAAUUCAUCAAGCGAGUAUAAAAUGAAUGGUCAAAAUCAAACGACGUCUUAAAAAUGAAUGAUCGGAUCCUUCAAUUUAAGAUCGGAGUUAUUAAUCUUUAUCUAUGUUGUGAAUAGAAUUUUCUAUCAAAAAUUCAACCGAUUUCAAUUCUUUACACCGUUAAACUAGCAAAUAUCCCAUACUGGCCUUUAAAAAUUGUCAAUUUUGUGACCUUUUCAUCGUAAGGUAAAUGAUGUCGAAAAAUUAUAAAUUUGAUUCCUAGACAUUUUAAAUGCUCUACAUGACGUUUAACGGUGUGGAUCGUCGAUUUGGAAACUCUAUCAUCGAAAACAACUAAACAACUUAUGAGUAUGAGGGCGAUCGUACUCAUAAGAGUAUAGUAGUUGGACUCUAUAUAUAUAUAUAUAGAGAGAGAGAGAGAGAGAGAGAGCUAGUCUCCUAUACUAUCUAUAGUACCGAGGUUCCGGUACUAUAGUCUCGUUUUCGAUCUUAGGGUGUUCAAAUCAACGAUCCACACCGUUAAAACUGAUAUAGGGUAUUUAAAGUUUUUAGAAAUAAAAUUUUAUAUUUUUUUGACAUAGUUUACUUUAUGAUCAAACGAUUUCAAAAUUGUCAAUUUUCAAUGGCUACUAUGAUGAGUUUGGAGUUUAACGGUGUAAAAGAAUCUAAAUUUCUUCAAAUUUUGAUAGAAAAUACUUUAAACUAUCUAGAUUAAGGUUAACAUUCUUGAUCUUGAAUUUAAAAGUCCUAUGCUCAAAUUUUAAAGAUUAUUCAAUUUUCACCGUUCAUUUUGAUAUAAUUUAUUUACUAAGUAAACGAUGUCGAAUAAAACUAAAAUUUUAUUCCUAAGAACAUCAUAUACUCAAGAUCAUAUUUAACAGUGUGGAUGAUCGGAUCCUUCAAUUUAAGAUCAGAGUUAUUUAUUUUUAUCCAGGUAGUGAAUAGAAUUUUCUAUCAAAAAAUCAACCUAUUCCAAUUCUUUUACACCGUUAAAUUAGCAAGUAUCCCAUACCGGCCGUUAAAAAUUGUUAAUUUUGUGAGGUUUUGAUCAUAAGGUGGAUGAUAUCGAAAAAUUAUAAAAUUUGAUUUCUAGAAGUUUUAAAUGCUCUAUAUAAUGUUUAACGAUAUGGAUCGUCGAUUCAGAAACUCUAUCAUCGAAAACAUAUGAGUACGAGGGCGAUCGUACUCAUAAGAGUAUAGUAGCUAGCCGGACUCUAUAGUCUAUAUAUAUAUAUAUAUAUAUAGGGAGGCUGGUAUGCUUCUGAAAGUACGGAGCCCUCCGUGCUUCCAAGUCAUUUUCGAUAUUAGGACUUUCGAAUCGACGAUCAGCUCCGCUAGAUGUGAUCUAAAGUAUUUAAAGUAUCUAGAAAAUAAAUUUCUAAAAAAGGCUAAAAUGCAGAAAUUUCCUCUAUAAAUAUCCCUUUUUCACUUAAUUUCCUGUCUUUCAAAAACUUCGAUUUUCUCCUUUUUAAAUUUAGAGUUGUAACACUCAACUAAACAAUAUUAUAAUUUCAUCACUAUACUGUGCAUAAAUUAUAUAAUAUAGCAAAGAAAUUUAAUGAGAGAUAUAUAUAUGUUAUAUUCUUAAAAAUGGUGAGAAUAAUUUUAUAUAUUCUCUUAAAUUAAAUAACUUUUUAAAAGAGAUACUUGACUAUUUACUAAUUUACUUUUCUUUUUCUAUCAUUUUUAAGAACAAAAUAAGUAUACUAGUAAUUAUCUAAUUGUACUACACAAUUUAUGUUCAAAGCAAUGACGAAAUUAUAACAAUUCUGAGCUACUAGGUGUUAUGACUUUAUAUUUUAAGAUAGGCAAAGUAUAAGUUUUAUAUUUUGAGGAAUGCUUCAAUACAAUAUAAAUAUUAAAAUCUAAUUCUUAAUUAGUAAAGGGUAUAAUUGAGUUUUACGUGAAGUAACCUGUUGAACAGGUUACCGAUUUGAAUUAGUUAACAUGACAAUAUUGGAAAAAAAAAAAUAGUAGUAUAUGCCAAAUUUGUCACCAUUCUAUAAAUAUUAAAUAUCUUAUUUACGUUGGUAACUUACCAAAUUAGAUAAUACCCAAUUUGUUAAGUAUACAGCUCAAAAAAAUAUUAAAUUUAUUUUUUGAAGUUGGUAUUGUAAUGUAAAAUUUUAAUUUUGAAAUUUAUAUUAAACUUUUAAAUUUGAAUCUAAAUUGAACUUUUAAUCUUAAAGACAAAUUUUAAUUUUUGAUUUAAAUUGAAAUUUUGAAUAGAAACUGAAAGUUUUAUUUUAAAUUUGUGUUUUAUAUUUAAAAAAAUUGAAUUUUAUUUAUAAUUAAGUUUUAAAUAUUGUUUUGAAUUUAAAUUUACAAUUUGGUUGUAAUUUGAAAUCCAACUAUUUCUGUAGGCAUUUGAAAAGAUCAGAAUAUUUUUAGUUGGAUAAAAUUGGUUUUGUAAAUCAAAAUAUUUUACAAAGACCAAAAUACCGUUUAAAUAGGUACUUGGUGAAUAGUACCUAUGUUUCAAUAGUAGAUCAUCUCUAGAUUCAUAUUAAAUCUAUACCAUCUAUUAAGAAAAAUAAAUGGUCAAGAUUUAUGUGGUGUAUUGAAUGUCGGA
Molecule: long non-coding RNA, 3650 nt
Filed under: Ananas comosus (pineapple)
Lineage: Eukaryota; Viridiplantae; Streptophyta; Magnoliopsida; Poales; Bromeliaceae
Description: long non-coding RNA (ACOM_LNC019962)
Source: RNAcentral